RNAcentral lists this transfer RNA (69 nucleotides) under Henicorhynchus lobatus. RNAcentral's name for it is "tRNA-Glu". Lineage: Eukaryota; Metazoa; Chordata; Actinopteri; Cypriniformes; Cyprinidae. The record is from RNAcentral.
AUUCUUAUAGUUGAAUAACAACGGUGGUUCUUCAAAUCACUAGUCUCGGUUAAAGUCUGAGUAGGAAUU